AUUAUGAAUCGAUCACGUUAUUUGAUUAUACAUAGAACUGAAUGGAAUCGUCUGAAAAGAUGUCAAAGUCCUGAUAAAAGAGAAUCGGAAAAGAAUGAUUACUUAAAGUCUUCUAUAGAACAAUCUCAAAAUUGGAUUAAGAUGUGGCCGGAUACAGUACAGGGUUAUGCCCACCAACUAGAAACUAAAAAAAAUAUAAAACACGCUCAACAAAUAGAGUCCGUAAAAAAGUUCGUCUCUAGAAAGAAACAUGAAAUCAAGAUGGAAUCUAUUAAAAAAGCCAGAGACAUUAUAUUUGAAGAUAGUUGCUACGGUCGUCAACUUUUAAGUGCAUUAGUAGAAUCAAAUACUCUUGAAGAAAUAAAACAGCAAAUAGUAUUCCAAAAAAAUAUAAAACAAACUGCUGACCUCCAAAAACUUAAUGAGUCACAGGCAUCGUCUAUACGAAGUGCCAGUGAAAUGGAAUCAAUUGAAAUAAAAAGGGAACUCCUCAAAAAACAAAGAAAUGAAGACGUAGCUCGAUUUAAUCAAGCGAUGUAAGUAACUUAGUAAAUAAAAUUAUAAGCCGUAUAAAAAAAAAUCUUAUCUGCAUUGCACGUCUUUACAUUUGACUUUAAAAUAUCA
This is a long non-coding RNA of Vanessa tameamea, 624 nucleotides long. RefSeq lists it as uncharacterized. Lineage: Eukaryota; Metazoa; Arthropoda; Insecta; Lepidoptera; Nymphalidae. The record is from RefSeq and is a predicted model, not a curated record. The transcript is spliced from 3 exons.